RNAcentral lists this long non-coding RNA (908 nucleotides) under Vulpes vulpes (red fox). RNAcentral describes it as "lncRNA (ENSVVUG00000027738.1)". The record is from RNAcentral. Lineage: Eukaryota; Metazoa; Chordata; Mammalia; Carnivora; Canidae.
GUGAAAAGCUUCAACUCCAGGCAGAAAGGGGAGUGAGGAGCAAAGAAAACAACUCAGAACAAUCGCUGGAAAGCAAGAGCAUCCUAAAUCUCAUCUAUUAAGAGCAGAGAAAAACACCUAAAAACCUCCACCAUAUUUUUUUGUGUACAGUGCCUUUUUGCUGGCACUUGGUUACAACAAUAGUGGAGAAAAGUAGGCCCAUAAAGCAAGAUUGAUUGCUGGGAAGAUGAUCAAUUGCUGCUGUGAAAGGGGAAAAAACUGAUAAAUGUUUUUUUUUUCCCUCUCUUCACAACCUUUUGCUAAAGCUGUGCAAAAUGUGUCAUGCAUAAAAAGUAUGCAAUUUUCAUGUAAUUAGAGGAACACAAGAUGAAAAUGAGUUCCAUCAGAGCAAUCAAGGAUGGUAAUGUGAUAUAUAGAAGGCACAACCUUGUGGUCAUAACUAGAUCCCUGGCUUCUCACUGCAAAAUAAGAAACUAUCAUUAAAGAGUGGCUGAACAUAUUUUUCACAAAAUAAAGUGGUUGUUUGGAUCACACAUAUCACAAAAAGAGAAAAAAAUCAAGGCAAGCCUAGGCCAGCUCAUGGAUUUGAAGUCAUCAAACUAUAUAAUCAGAGAUGCUUAGAUUUAGAAGGAACUGUAGAGGUCAUAUCAAUAGAUAUACAUGGAAUGAAUAUUGGUCUAAUGCAUGAAAGAUCCAGUGAAUCUAAUAAAAGCCCUACUGAAUUGCCUGCUAUAUUGCCUGGAAUUGUUAUUUACUUUUCAUGUAUAUUAAUUAACACUUCUGUACCCUUCACUCAGUGUUUGCAUCAUGCCUUGUGUAUGGGACAUAGUUAAGGAGUCCUUGGUACAUCUUUAUUGAAUUUAUACUGUCAGAGAUAUCUGUGCUAAAUGGGGAGGAGCAGAUAUUCA